CAAUAGCGUAUAUUAAAGUUGUUGCGGUUAAAAAGCUCGUAGUUGGAUUUCUGUCGAGGGCGGGCGGGUCCGCACUAUGUGCGUGUAUCUUGUUCGGUCUUGGCAUCCUCUUGGGGAAUGGCAUUCUGUGCUUGAUUGCAUGGGGUGGAAUUCAAGACUUUUACUUUGAGGAAAUUAGAGUGUUCACGGCAAGCUACCGCUUUGAAUACAUUAGCAUGGAAUAAUAAUAUAGGGCGUAAGUUCUAUUUUGUUGGUUUCUAGGACAUACGCAAUGAUUAAUAGGGACAAUUGGGGCGGAUUCGUAUUAACGCGUCAGAGGUGGAAUUCUUAGAUUGCGUUACGACGAACUACUGCGAAAGCAUUUGCCAAAGAUGUUUUCAUUGAUCAAGAACGAAAGUUAGGGGAGUCGAGAUGAUCAGAU
This 421-nucleotide ribosomal RNA is filed under the name uncultured eukaryote. RNAcentral describes it as "SSU rRNA". It matches the Rfam family "Eukaryotic small subunit ribosomal RNA", at positions 592 to 1013 of the family's 1831-position model. The record is from RNAcentral.